GCACCAGUAGCUCAGCGUGAGAGCGCCAGUCUUGUAAACUGGCCGUCGAGGGUUAAAAUCCCUCCUGUUGCU
This 72-nucleotide transfer RNA is filed under the name Paralichthys adspersus (fine flounder). RNAcentral describes it as "tRNA-Thr". It matches the Rfam family "tRNA". From Rfam's summary of the family: Transfer RNA (tRNA) molecules are approximately 80 nucleotides in length. Their secondary structure includes four short double-helical elements and three loops (D, anti-codon, and T loops). Lineage: Eukaryota; Metazoa; Chordata; Actinopteri; Pleuronectiformes; Paralichthyidae. The record is from RNAcentral.